CCAAGUGGUUGCCACACAUCUAGUACAGUACAUCUGUGGCCAUGGCGGGCUCGUUGACUUGGAAAUGGUUCAAUGCGCGCUGUACGGCACUCUAACCAAAUCCAGCAUGCACAUUCUUUUUUUGCAACAACCGGGAGCUGACCUGGACCGGGGGCACUAUCAAUGCCAUUGGUAGCUUCAUUCAUAAAUCCUGUGGUCCAGUACACAAGACAUUCUCAUUGGGCAAUGCAGGAUUGAAUAUAUGCGUCAUUCAGGCCGCGCAUGAGCUCUUUCGCUUGAUCGAUUGCAAAUCGCUUCCACGCCAAGGAAUGCUGGGUGGCAUUAAAGCACGUCCUACGCUACGUCAAGAAAACGAAGGAUCACAGAAUUCUGUACAUGAAGGAGAUAAUUGAGGGGCUCAGUCCUGUAGCGUACAAGGACUCAGAUUUGGCAGGGGCAGACCCCAAGUCAACUACGGGUCACAUUAUCCUGCUAAAUGGAUCACCAAUCUCGUGGCGAACGGCAGACCUCAGUUGCAAAAUCGACCACUGAAGCGGAGUAUAUCGCGGCAAGUGAGGCAGCGUGCGAAGUAAUCUGGUUGAAUGACAUGUUAUAUGAUGCUGGAUUGGUAGAGGGAAAAGCAAAGGUAUGCUCGUGUGAGAAAUGAUCUAUCAUAUCAAGCAUUGUGAGAAAGAAUCUAUCAUAUCAAGCAUUGUGAGAAGUGAUCUAUCAUAUCAAGCAAGGAUCUUAUUCUAUCUCAAUUUCGGAAACCGGAUCACUGCUCCGAUGUAUACCAGC
This 777-nucleotide small RNA is filed under the name Histoplasma ohiense. RNAcentral's name for it is "hypothetical lncRNA". Lineage: Eukaryota; Fungi; Ascomycota; Eurotiomycetes; Onygenales; Ajellomycetaceae. The record is from RNAcentral.